AGUGAAUGUGUCUUCUACAACGCGAUGCCUUCCAUUGCUAGGCUCCUCAACAAGAUCAAGGAUGAGAUCCGAUGCAGGGCUAGGGCAGGGGCACAAGGCCCGUGGGUUGUUCUGCACCAAUCCUGGGAUGUCUACUGA
Molecule: ribosomal RNA, 138 nt
Filed under: Triticum aestivum (bread wheat)
Lineage: Eukaryota; Viridiplantae; Streptophyta; Magnoliopsida; Poales; Poaceae
Description: partial small subunit ribosomal RNA
Source: RNAcentral